RNAcentral lists this RNase P RNA (471 nucleotides) under Spirochaetaceae bacterium. Its description in RNAcentral is "RNase P RNA component class A". It matches the Rfam family "Bacterial RNase P class A". Rfam says of the family: Ribonuclease P (RNase P) is a ubiquitous endoribonuclease, found in archaea, bacteria and eukarya as well as chloroplasts and mitochondria. Its best characterised activity is the generation of mature 5'-ends of tRNAs by cleaving the 5'-leader elements of precursor-tRNAs. Cellular RNase Ps are ribonucleoproteins. Lineage: Bacteria; Pseudomonadati; Spirochaetota; Spirochaetia; Spirochaetales; Spirochaetaceae. The record is from RNAcentral.
GAGGCGGACCGGCGCAUCGCCGCGUGCCGAUCCCGCGGGGACCGGCGGCGCGGAGGAAAGUCCGGGCUCCGCAAGGGCAUGGCGCCGGGUAAUUCCCGGGCCGCGGCGCAGAAGCGCGUCCGCGGACAGAGAGUGCCACAGAAAACAUACUGCCGGCCGCGGCGCUGAUGCGGCGUGUGCCGGUGAGGGUGAAAAGGUGGGGUAAGAGCCCACCGCGCCGCUGGCGACAGCGGCGGCACGGUAAACCUCGCCAGGAGCAAGGCCAAGCAGCAGGUGGACGGCCCGUCCAGGAGUUCGCUCCAGCCUGCGGGUAGGCUGCACGAGCCGUCCGGAAACGGCCGGCCCAGAUAGAUGAUGCGCACCAAGGGUGGCCUCGUCGCCCGGAGAUGCAGAAUGCCGCAGGCAUUCUGCGGUACUUGGGCGCCGCAGGCGCCCAAGGUCCAGGACCCGGCUUACAGGUCCGCCUCUUUU